Molecule: ribosomal RNA, 497 nt
Filed under: uncultured bacterium
Lineage: Bacteria
Description: partial 16S ribosomal RNA
Rfam family: Bacterial small subunit ribosomal RNA
Source: RNAcentral
GAUGAACGCUGGCGGCGUGCCUAAUACAUGCAAGUCGAGCGAACGGACGAGGAGCUUGCUUCUCUGAUGUUAGCGGCGGACGGGUGAGUAACACGUGGAUAACCUACCUAUAAGACUGGGAUAACUUCGGGAAACCGGAGCUAAUACCGGAUAAUAUUUUGAACCGCAUGGUUCAAAAGUGAAAGACGGUUUUGCUGUCACUUAUAGAUGGAUCCGCGCUGCAUUAGCUAGUUGGUAAGGUAACGGCUUACCAAGGCAACGAUGCAUAGCCGACCUGAGAGGGUGAUCGGCCACACUGGAACUUAGCCACGGUCCAGACUCCUGCGGGAGGCAGCAGUAGGGAAUCUUCCGCAAUGGGCGAAAGCCUGACGGAGCAACGCCGCGUGAGUGAUGAAGGUCUUCGGAUCGUAAAACUCUGUUAUUAGGGAAGAACAUAUGUGUAAGUAACUGUGCACAUCUUGACGGUACCUAAUCAGAAAGCCACGGCUAACUACGUG